UUUUAUUUUUAAUUUUAUAAAGGCACAUUUACAUUGCUGUGUAUUUAUUGUUUAUAUUCUAAAUGACUAUUUCCUUUUUAACAACUAUAGGCUGCAGUUUGAAAAGUUUGGAUCUUGAUAGCUGCACUCUUUCAGAAAUCCUCAGACUGCACAUCUUAGCUUCAGGUGCUGAUGUAACAUCAGCAAAUGCAAAGUAUAGAUAUCAAAAACGAGGAGGAUUUGAUGCUACAGAUGAUGCUUGUAUGGAGCUUCGUUUGAGCAAUCCCAGUCUAGUGAAGAAACUGUCAAGCACCUCAGUGUAUGAUUUGACACCAGGAGAAAAAAUGAAGAUACUCCAUGCUCUCUGUGGAAAGCUACUGACCCUAGUUUCAACUAGGGAUUUUAUUGAAGAUUAUGUUGAUAUAUUACGACAGGCGAAGCAGGAGUUCCGGGAAUUAAAAGCAGAACAACAUCGAAAAGAGAGGGAAGAAGCAGCUGCCAGAAUUCGUAAAAGGAAGGAAGAAAAACUUAAGGAGCAAGAACAAAAAAUGAAAGAGAAACAAGAAAAACUGAAAGAAGAUGAGCAAAGAAAUUCAACGGCAGAUAUAUCUAUUGGAGAGGAAGAAAGGGAAGAUUUUGAUACUAGCAUUGAGAGCAAAGACACAGAGCAAAAGGAAUUAGAUCAAGAUAUGGUCACUGAAGAUGAAGAUGACCCAGGAUCACAUAAAAGAGGCAGAAGGGGUAAUACUG
Molecule: small RNA, 729 nt
Filed under: Pongo abelii (Sumatran orangutan)
Lineage: Eukaryota; Metazoa; Chordata; Mammalia; Primates; Hominidae
Description: retained intron
Source: RNAcentral